Molecule: non-coding RNA, 105 nt
Organism: Ciona savignyi (Pacific transparent sea squirt)
Lineage: Eukaryota; Metazoa; Chordata; Ascidiacea; Phlebobranchia; Cionidae
Source: Rfam
GCUUAUCACCAUUCCAGAUUGAAUAUACCCGAGCUCGUCUGAUCUCGGAAGUCAAGCAAUCUCGGGCUUGGUUAGACCGCUUGGGAUUACCAAAUGUGAUAAGCA